UUGCUUCAGCAAUACAUAUACUAAAAUUGGAAUGAUACGGAGAUGAUAAACAUGGCCCCUGUGCAAGCAUGACACGCAAAUUCGUGAAGCAUUCCAUAUGUUU
RNAcentral lists this small nuclear RNA (103 nucleotides) under Carlito syrichta (Philippine tarsier). The record is from RNAcentral. Lineage: Eukaryota; Metazoa; Chordata; Mammalia; Primates; Tarsiidae.